RNAcentral lists this ribosomal RNA (104 nucleotides) under uncultured bacterium. RNAcentral describes it as "partial 16S ribosomal RNA". It matches the Rfam family "Bacterial small subunit ribosomal RNA", at positions 1379 to 1482 of the family's 1533-position model. The record is from RNAcentral.
CCUUGUACACACCGCCCGUCAAGUCAUGAAAGUCGGUAACACCCGAGGCCAGUGGCCCAACCGCAAGGAGGGAGCUGUCGAAGGUGGGAUCGGUGAUUAGGACU